GGCAAAUUCUAAGUUUUGAAGGAUUUGCAAAAAAUGUUUGAGGGACUGAUUGAGAGUUUAACACUGGGUCAGUUCCCUCAAACAUUUCUUACAAAUCCUUCAAAA
Non-coding RNA from Paramuricea clavata, 105 nucleotides. NCBI's taxonomy places the organism in Eukaryota, Metazoa, Cnidaria, Anthozoa, Malacalcyonacea, Plexauridae. The record is from the annotation of a GenBank genome assembly.